This 198-nucleotide ribosomal RNA is filed under the name uncultured bacterium. Its description in RNAcentral is "partial 16S ribosomal RNA". It matches the Rfam family "Bacterial small subunit ribosomal RNA", at positions 328 to 539 of the family's 1533-position model. The record is from RNAcentral.
ACGCUCGACACCUACGUGAGGCAGCAGUGGGGAAUAUUGCACAAUGGGGGAAACCCUGAUGCAGCGACGCCGCGUGAGCGAAGAAGUAUUUCGGUAUGUAAAGCUCUAUCAGCAGGGAAGAAAAUGACGGUACCUGACUAAGAAGCCCCGGCUAACUACGUACACGCAGCCGCGGUAAUCUGAGCGGGCUGGCAAGGC